This 533-nucleotide ribosomal RNA is filed under the name uncultured bacterium. RNAcentral describes it as "bacterial SSU rRNA". It matches the Rfam family "Bacterial small subunit ribosomal RNA", at positions 338 to 862 of the family's 1533-position model. The record is from RNAcentral.
CCUACGGGAGGCAGCAGUGGGGAAUAUUGGACAAUGGGCGCAAGCCUGAUCCAGCCAUGCCGCGUGUGUGAAGAAGGCCUUCGGGUUGUAAAGCACUUUUAUCCGGAAAGAAAAGCUUUGGGUUAAUACCCUGAAGUCAUGACGGUACCGGAAGAAUAAGCACCGGCUAACUUCGUGCCAGCAGCCGCGGUAAUACGAAGGGUGCAAGCGUUACUCGGAAUUACUGGGCGUAAAGCGUGCGUAGGUGGUUUGUUAAGUCUGAUGUGAAAGCCCUAGGCUCAACCUGGGAAUUGCAUUGGAUACUGGCAGGCUAGAGUGCGGUAGAGGAUAGUGGAAUUCCCGGUGUAGCAGUGAAAUGCGUAGAGAUCGGGAGGAACAUCUGUGGCGAAGGCGACUAUCUGGGCCAGCACUGACACUGAGGCACGAAGCGGUGGGGAGACAAACAGGAUUACGAUACCCGUGGUACGUCCCACGCCCUAAACGACUAGCGACGUAGGAGUGUUGGGUUGGCGAACGUAACGGACGACUCAGUA